This 274-nucleotide long non-coding RNA is filed under the name Brassica napus (rape). Its description in RNAcentral is "long non-coding RNA (BNAP_LNC008832)". The record is from RNAcentral. Lineage: Eukaryota; Viridiplantae; Streptophyta; Magnoliopsida; Brassicales; Brassicaceae.
GAGGUGUUUACGACGAUUUUGGUUACGUGGUUUUUACGACGAUUCCGUCCUACGUGGAAUUAAAGUGGGCCGCGUUCAUCAUUUAUUUUACGUGGUAUUUACGACGAAUCUCUCCUACGUGGUAUUUACGACGAAUUUGUCCUACGUGGUAUUUACGACGAAUCUCUCCUACGUGGAAUAAACGAGGAAUUCGUCGUAAGUUCGACGUCAACAUACGAGGAAUUAACGAGUAUUCCGUUUAAAUCCCUAAAAUCCGAAACCCCAAACCCCAAAC